AUCGACGGCCAUGCCACCCUGAAUGAGCCCGAUCCUGUCUGAUCUUAAUGCUAAGCAGGGUCGGGCCUGGUUAGUACUUGAAUGGGAGACCACCUAGGAAGAGCAGGUGCUGUAGGCG
RNAcentral lists this ribosomal RNA (118 nucleotides) under Pteropus alecto (black flying fox). Lineage: Eukaryota; Metazoa; Chordata; Mammalia; Chiroptera; Pteropodidae. The record is from RNAcentral.